CAAGUAACCAAUGUGAUUUUUGUGUAGUGCAUGAUUUCUCUCUGGAAUUAUCUCCUUUUUGCAGGUUCUAACACUUUCAGAAAUUCUCUGGCCUUGUUUUCUCUUCCUCAUUCUUGCAGCUGUGUGAUACCUUGAGUGUCCUGCAUAUCGUACCAACUCAGACGUUCUCCUCUUGGCAGCCAGUACAGCCAAUGGCAGGAGGGUACCAGCUUCAUUGACAGUAUAUUGGACUUGACCAAUGAUAUUUCAGAAAUCACAAAAAAGGCUUCUGUAUUGGAAAGAGAUUGGGUAGAGUUAUCAGGUAAUACACUUCCAUAUCCAUUUCUCGCACAAACCAAAUUCAGAUUUGAGCACUUUAAACUUACUGCUUACAUUUAUGCUGAGAAGACACAUUUUUAAACGAUGCUGGAUAUUUUAUGUUCUUUCCUUCAGAAUUGGCAGCAGACACAACAGAAAAUCG
This 460-nucleotide long non-coding RNA is filed under the name Lepisosteus oculatus (spotted gar). RNAcentral describes it as "lncRNA (ENSLOCG00000021324.1)". Lineage: Eukaryota; Metazoa; Chordata; Actinopteri; Semionotiformes; Lepisosteidae. The record is from RNAcentral.